Molecule: ribosomal RNA, 465 nt
Filed under: uncultured bacterium
Lineage: Bacteria
Description: partial 16S ribosomal RNA
Rfam family: Bacterial small subunit ribosomal RNA
Source: RNAcentral
GAUGAACGCUGGCGGCGUGCUUAACACAUGCAAGUCGAACGAUGAAGCCCAGCUUGCUGGGUGGAUUAGUGGCGAACGGGUGAGUAACACGUGAGUAACCUGCCCUUAACUCUGGGAUAAGCCUGGGAAACUGGGUCUAAUACCGGAUAGGAGCGUCCACCGCAUGGUGGGUGUUGGAAAGAUUUAUCGGUUUUGGAUGGACUCGCGGCCUAUCAGCUUGUUGGUGAGGUAAUGGCUCACCAAGGCGACGACGGGUAGCCGGCCUGAGAGGGUGACCGGCCCCACUGGGCAAGGGAAGCGGCCCGGACCCCACCGGGAGGGAAGGGUGGGAAAUUUUGGAAGAAGGGCGAAGGCAUGGAUGAGGGGCGCCGGAGGGGGAAUGACGGUUUUGGGGUUAUAACAACUUUUCAAGAGAGAAGAAGCGAAAUGGCGGGACCUUAAAAGAGAAGCACCGGCAACCUCGGU